CCCUUUUUAUAGUCAACUUCCACAACAUUAAUAUAAUUUUAGUUUAGCAGCUCAGAAUCUGUUCCUUUUCGCCGGAGCCCUUCUGAAUGUCCGUUUUGUGUCCAAAUUUGACAGUCAGGCUCGGUUUAAGCUAAUAAAAAAAAAUAUAUCUUAACUUUUCAGUUUGGACCAUUUUUUAUCACCGAAAACUCUACCGACUAAAGUCUCUAGCAGAUAGCAGUCAGAUUUUAUUUUUUACUUUUCGGGUGUCGGAAUGACAUGAAACUUUAAAUCUAGCCUCAUAAAAAUAAUUCCGACAUAUUUUCAAGUUUUCAUAAUUUUCUGACACUGUGAAUUUUCUGCUAAAAUAUCAUCCCCGCUUCUUAUAGAAAAUUCUAAAUCUUCUGUGUCCAUUCCAAUUUCAACACAAGUCAUUUCUGACUUAUAUUUUACUUUUUUAAGUCCAAUAAAAAUAGUAUCUCAUACUAUUUUUAUUUAUACUUACUUUUAUAUCAAGAAGUCGGUAUAUUACAUAUCUCAUA
Molecule: long non-coding RNA, 521 nt
Filed under: Ananas comosus (pineapple)
Lineage: Eukaryota; Viridiplantae; Streptophyta; Magnoliopsida; Poales; Bromeliaceae
Description: long non-coding RNA (ACOM_LNC029527)
Source: RNAcentral